RNAcentral lists this long non-coding RNA (14898 nucleotides) under Theobroma cacao (cacao). RNAcentral describes it as "long non-coding RNA (TCAC_LNC005168)". Lineage: Eukaryota; Viridiplantae; Streptophyta; Magnoliopsida; Malvales; Malvaceae. The record is from RNAcentral.
UUUAUUUUAGUGGUAAUAAUUGAGCUAAAAAGAUUUGAAAGUGAAGGUUUAGGCAAUAGAAUCCCCAGUGUGAAUUCCAAGACAAGGAGUAGGGGAGGGGGAGCAAGAUGAUGUAAAGAAAAAGACAUAAGAUUUCUCUUUUGCUUUCCAUAAAGGUAGUGAUAAAAUAUCUUCCCUGUAUACAUGAUCAAAGAUUCAACAUUGGCUUCCAGAUUGUUGCCUUUGCACUAAUUGUCACUAACCAUAAAGUUGUUUCUUUUCUUAGACCAUCAUGCUUGCCUUUUUUGUAAUUUAUCUGUGAAGAAUCUUACGACCAAUUAUAUACGAAUUAAAUUAAAUUAAAUUAAAUUUUACUUUUAUUUAAUUUAAUAAAAUAAAUCCAUAAAAUUGGAUAAAUCGGCAACGUUGCAAAUGGGAGAAAGGAUAUUUAGGUUUAGGGUGGUCAAUUUCCAAUUAUAGGUCUAAAUGAGCUUUAAACGAGUAUUUAAUCGAGUCAAGUUUAUUUAUGUUUGAACUUUGCUCAUUUAUUAAAUGAAUUCUGAAAUUUUGUUCGAAUUAAUUUGUUUAAACAAAUAUAGACGAAUUUAACUUAAAUCUAUUUACGAAUUGUUUUGAAUCUUACAUGACAAUAUUUGAGAAAAAUAAACAAUUUUUAGCGUCAAGAUGCUGGUCAAAAAGCACUUAGCUUUAGCACGAUUGAUUUGGAGGAAAAGUUGAGUUACGCAAGCACCGCCCAUAACAAAGGCACCAAAAAGAUAAAUAGAAGCUCAUAAUUAAAUUUAAUGGGUAUUUCUUUUUAUUUUUUUUAUUUUUGACAUAUGCACAGUAAUUGAGAUAGACAUAAUGCUUUUCAAAAAAAAAAUUGGGAUAGAGACAUAAUAAUUUAUCAUGAUUUGGAAUUUCGUAUCUAUUAAGGAAACAAUUGAGUUAGAACAGAAAAGAUUUUUUUUUUUUUUAUAUAUAGAAGGGAGAAGAUAUAAAAGAACUUAUUACAUCAUCUUAUGCCAUGAUAUUAUUUUAAAUAUUGUAAAAUAAAUCAAAAUGUUUAUAUUGCUAAAAUUAAAGUAAAAGAAAAUACAAUAUAUUAUAUUAUUUAAAGAAAAGCAACAACGAAUUAGCAUUAUUUUUCUUAACUAUUAUGGAACUAAUCAUGUCAAAAUAAAAAAGAAAAAGGAGUUGGCGGUCAUUGGUGUUCUAAUGACUUCGAAUGCAUUCGAAAAUUUCAGAACUACAAGAAAAUUAAAAAAAUAUCGUCCAAUUAAACCAAUUAAACCUUGUACGUUUAUGCUAUUCCCUAAAGGUAGUGAUAAUAUAUCACAACAUUGGCUCGGAGAUUGUUGCCCCUGCAGUAAAGGUCACUAAACAUAAAGAUAUUUCUUUUCUUAGACCAUCAUUCUUGUCUUUUUGCAAUGCACAUGUGAAGAUUCUUACUACCCAUGAUGGGAAAAAAAAAAAAAAGAACCAUGAAAUUUUUACUUUUGUAUGGAAGAUGGAAAAAAAUAAUUUAAGGAGGGUAAAAAUAAGAAUAUGAUAAUGAUUUAAUUGCCUUGAUUUUAUUUUUAUUUAUAAAAAUUUAAAAUCUUCAAAUAUGAUUUAAUAAUAGAGAUACAUAUUUGUUAUCAAGUUCCAAUAUUUCUUCUUAAAUAAGAAAGAAAAAGAAAAAGUGAAAAUUUGAUAAACUUUCUUAGUAGGGGAAGAUAAGGGCGUGCGUCACCUUCAUGCAUGUUAUUAUCAAAUCAAUAUUGAAAAUAAUGCCUUAAUUCUUGUUGAAGAUACGUUAAAUGCCUUGAAAAUAGGCAAGGAGAGAUAAGUUCAAGAAAAGCAAAAAGCAGCCGUAAGUCAAGAUGUAAUGUGUUGAUCUAAAUUGCUGGCAAGAUGAAGCUGCAAACUUUAUUGACUGCAAUAUAAUAAUAGUCUUUAUCUUUGAAGAGCAUGGCAGCUAAAGUUAUGAUGUAAUAAUUCUUGGGUAUUAUUGUAAUUGACUCUAUCUUGUCUGAGCUAACCCCAGAAUAAGAAAAGCAGGCGUGGAGUGCGGAGAGACCAAUUUCUAAUUCGAGUGGCUCAUUAGGACAAGACCAAAAGCCGAUAAUGGUUGGAAAAUGCCAUGGAAUCUGGUGUUGUUGCAUUGAUACGUGGCAUGUUGUUGUCCAACAGUACUGCAUUUGUUGCGUGUUGGGGUUGCGAAUUCCAUUAGCAAAAUUAUCAUUAUUUUUAUUCCUUUGAAAUUCUCCUAUUCGUAUUUUCCUUUUGGACUGUCCUUAAACCUUAAUCCAAUGGAAAAUCUUUUUCUUUUCUAUGGAAAUAUAUGGACAAAAACAAGAAUAUCAAUGCCGUACUGCCUACGGUUGAGCAUUUCAGUUUUCAUAUAGAGAUCGAAACGCAUCAGUAUCAAUGUUUUUCAUAUUUUUUGCUAUAUAAAUAAAAAUGUAUAAACUUGGAAUAUAUAUAUAUAUAUAUAAACUAUUUUUAUCAGAAAUAUAAAUGUAUUAUACUAAAUAUUUAUAUGUUCGAAAAUUGAAAACAAAAACAUAGAAGAUUCAGAUCCAUAAUUGAAUUAACUUAUUGUAGAAAAAAAAAUUUUGUGAAAAUUAUUUUAUUAGAAAAUUUAAUAUUUUUAUUUAAAUAAAUAAUAUUUUCUGUUAUUUAAAUCACUCUGUAAAACAUCUUUUUCUCAUUAUUUUUCACAAAAAAUAUUUUCCCAUUUCUUACCUCAAUGCUAUUCAGUCCCUGGGAAAGAGAGAAUAGAACGGGAAGGCAGUAAAAGGGAUGGUGAAGGAGGUCGACCAAGGGGAUUAUCUUACGUCCUGCAACCUGCAACGGUUUAUUUUUCAUCGACCGGUAUCAAAAUUUUUGGUCAUUGCAUUUAGGAUUCAAUUGAUUUAGGAUUCAAACAAGAAAUAAUUUAGCCCAACCCUAUUUAUCUAUAUCUGUCCAAGAAAUAGCCCAUCUACUAUAAUAGUUAGCCAAUCCCACUUAACUUGACCCAAAAGCAUCAGCCUACUUGCUUAACGAAACUCAAGUCCCAAAAGCCUUCAUAAUGAGAAAUCAUUAACAAUCCUCUAGUCCAAAUUUGAUUUCCCCUCCAAUGUUUUUCUAUUUUCACAUUUUCCCUUUCAAUUCCGCUGCCUACCUUGAGUUCUGCACAUCUGCAUUAAUUUUUUGGAUAGCGGAUAUUAUGAUAACAUUGGGAUGUUAUGCAUUGAUGAAUUGAUUUGGUGAGUUCCUCGUGAGCAUGCAGGCAGGCAGUGUAGCAGUGGUGAAGGUCAUGAUUUGCUAAUUUUUUUACUAUAAUAUAAAAGACAAACCACCAGUCACAACCAUGGACAAUAAUACCGACUACAGGUGGCUUUUCUCUCCAUUUGGCAAUGAACAAAACGUAUGAAGACAGCUGUAGGACAGCAAGACUGAAAACUGAAAACUGAAAAUGAGUGACUACAACUAGAAUCCUCUCCCCCCCAACGCAACAUUGAAAGUAACUUCUGAUUUGUAGCAAAAUAGCGGAGAGCGGGAUUAAAAUCACUACUUAGCCGAGUGAAGUGUCCAUGAAUAAGGGCUGCAUAAUAGAUGCCUCCAAAUUAAUGUCCAGGUUAACUGUCUUGAACUAGAGUGAGAAAUGAAAACACCAGAAAGUUGAUCCACAAUCUUAAACAAAGUGAUAGAAAUAUUCUUCGAAAGUAAGUUCAUACUAAUGAAUCAAAAAUUCCAAUUGGAAAGCAUGUUCAUACUAAUGAAGCAAAAAUUCCAAGCCUAUUUGAGAACCAUAUAUAAUAAGGGAUAUCUUCAAGAUUCUAGAUGUCGUAAUUUAACAAAAUCCAAACAUAAAAGUGAAAGGAAAGAAAAACAAUAGCAAAAAACAUCUAACAGUCAAAGUUCUUCAAAUCUAGAGGCAGUUCAAGAACUUAAUAUCUUCUCCAUAGAUUCCUACACCGAAGAUACCACAGAACACACUCACACCUUAUAUUCCAGUGAAAGCUUUCUUCCCACCACCAGAAGAUCCAGCAGGAAUCACUUUCAAAACGUUGAACCUCACAGUCUUUGACAAUGGCCUGGAAUUAAAAAUUAUUAGACAUGAAUUACAAACAGCUAAAAUUGUCUACCCCUAUCUGUAAAAAUGAUUAGAUUCAUAGACAUUUAAUAAAAUCCUUGUGUUUCAGAACUUUUACCUGCAUUGCCCGAUAAUGACAUGAUCCCCUUCCUUCACACGGAAGCAUGGAGAAAUAUGUGCAGGAAUGUUUGAAUGCCUCUUCUCAUACCUAAAAAAAAAAAGGAAUUUAUCAAAAUAACUUCAAAAAAUAACUAUUCACAUAAGAAAAAUCCAUAAAAAAUGAAGCUGUAUCAUGCCUUUGGUAUUUCUUGAUAUAAUGAAGGUAAUUCCGUCGAACAAUGAUUGUCCUCAUCAUCUUGGCACUAUGACAAGUACCAGCUAAGAUACGACCCCUGAUGGAAACAGUGCCAGUGAAUGGGCAUUUCUUAUCAAUGUAGGUUCCUUCAGGAAACAAAUACAGAAAAAAAAAAAAUUAACAACCAGCAAUCAUAAUCUGGAUACCGACAGAACUGUUAACACAUAAAAACAUAUUCUCUAUAUCCCUUCCAAAUAUCAGAGUCUUCAUGUUAAUCAAGCCAAGUAGUAAACCAUCAUUUCUUUCUUAUAAAGUACUAUGUAUCACGCGUCAGUAUAUUAGCAUUAUAAAGGAUCCAUUAUCUGAAAUUUCAAAGGUAUGGCAAUAUAGAAAUAAAGCAAUUACUAUUUAGAAUGAUAUUGGCUUUUCCAGCUAACAACAAACAAAUGUUUACUCAGCUUACUAAAUGCAAGUAUCCAAGUAACACUCACAACUUAAAUAAAAUUUUACAUAAACUAAGCAUCCCCACCACCUAUAAUAAAUACAAUAAUAGAAAUAAAAAUUAAAAAAGGAAACUAAAAAGCCAACAAACCUUCAAUAGCUUCACGAGGAGUCUUGAAGCCCAAACCAAUGCUCUUCCAGAAGCGGUUCCCUCCCUUUCCUGGUCUCUUCCCUUUCCCAGAUUUCUUCGAGCUGAAAACAAUACAAAAUCAAUAAAACCCAUCUAAAAUAAAAAACCCAACUCGAAAAAUGUAAAAAGUUGCAAAAUUUUCAUGGUUUUUGAGUUUUGAGAUUACCUUAAAAACACUUUGGGUUGCUUCAAAAAUGCCUUCUCGGUCUGCAAACAAAAGAAAAACCAGAAAAUGAAAAGCCAAGCAUAGAGGGAGGGAGAGGGGGAAGAAGGAAAGAGAAUGGGAUCUGAAUGUGAACCUGUUCUGCCAUGGUUGAUGAGCUCUCUGGAGGGAGUGAGGCGCGGCUGCUGCGGGCAAAGAGAAGUAAAAAUGAGAGAGCUUUGCUACGAAAAACCCUAACCCUAACUAAUAAGUUGGCUUUUCAUAAGGGAUUCGUUUGGGCCACCUUAUCAAGCUGGGCCUUCAAAACUUGGGUCUUGAGAUCUUCUAUUUGGGCGAAUACAUGGUUUGUCACUUGAUUAGUUUUUCUUUUUUUUUUUUGUUGUGAAAAGUUAUUAUAAAACAAAUGCAAAAAAUAAAAAAAUAUAAUAAACUAAAUUUGGAUAAAUAAUUAAAAUAUAAAUACCAAUAUAACAUAAUUAGUUUAUAUAAAAGUAGAAUAAUAUGUUUCAUUAUUUUAAAAAAUUACAUAUUUUAUCUAUAGUUUUCUCAAAAUUAUUAUUUUCUUUUGUAUCUAAAUGUACAUAUUUAUCUAGGAUAUUUUUUUUUUGUUUCUACCUAAAAGGGUAAAUAUAAAAAUUUUACAGUUUACUUCCUUGCAUUACCAAACGAGAGCAUGAAUUUCAUCUUCCUUUAUCUUUAAUUUAUUCAUGAACCAAGCAAGGCCUUUCUAAUGCUCUGUUGCCUUAUGACUGGCCUACCUUUUUUCACUUACCUUUAAAUUUCCAUUACUUAGAUGUUGGCUUUAGGAAAAUGAAAGUAAUAAAGUUUUUAAGCUGCUUCUAAUAAUUAAUUUCAUUUUACUCUAGGUUGACUCGCUUGGAUAUUAGUUCCGCGUCAAGGUAAAUCAUUCUAUUGCUUUACAUGAUCGCCCUCGAAGAGCAUUCACUGAAAAGAGCAUGCAAAAGCAAGGUCUAGCCCCCACUAGGCACCCCAACUCAAAAACUGACCAAAGCAAAGUAAAUUCAAUAGCCAUUCUGUUGACCCUAAGCAUUUUUCAGAUUUUAGGCCUGAAAUGGCUACGGGCUAUAUCAACAACUCUAUUGGCAUUCUUAGGCGGAGUGCAAAUAAAAACAUUCACCCUGUGAUGGAGAUGUAUGCUGAACCUAUCAAUAUGGAGUUCUCUGAUGCUACAUCAAGUGAUUGGUCUCUUUUGACAAGCUCUGAUAAGGUUUCAUUUACAAUAGAGAGUACUAGAGACUCUUUCAGUACUGUGGACUAUGCUGAUGCCAGUAGUGGAGAUUCAUUGUCAAUCUUCAACAACUCGUUUACUCCAAAAUCCUCCUCUUACAACACGGUUUCGUGUAGAAUCUUGUCAACUAGUAAACCCCAGACUAGGUAUAUAUUAGAGGAGAAGGGUUAUGUUUUUGAUUCAUACUUAUUAGCCUAACUUGUGAUUAGAGUUCAAGAGAACUUGAAGCAGGUCGGUAAUUUUUUGACCAAAAUUUCUUUGGAUAGUGACUAUGGCAUGUCUGUAAAAUAUGGGAGUAACCCAAAAAAUGCUCUUGAUAGAACUUAUGGUCAUUGUGAACUAUAGCUUGUGAAAAUUCCAACUGAUUAAAUAUUGACUUAACCAGCUAGAAGUGUUGCCUCAAUUUUCGUUUCAAUGCUUUAUUGAUUGAGUUAUGUGGAUCGUAUUAAAAUAACCAAGGAAAGGAAUAUUCUUGUUAUUUUUCAAAAAUAUUUUUUGAAGAUUGUAUAGCGCCAGCAUUUAAAAAUAAAUGUUAUUCUUUGAAUGCUUUAGUCUGUUGAUAUUGAAAUGGUAAUGUUAAUGCCUCCUUUAAUACUUUCCACGACUUCUGCGUUGGGCAUUGCGCCGAGCUUAAUUAUUAUUGUUACCCCAAGCAGCAACAUUACCCCUCGAGUUAGCGGCACCAGCGUUGUUUCCAAGAGGAUUAGCCACACCAGCUUUGUUUCUACGGCCUCGAGUAUUGCCUUGAGCAGCAACAUUGCCCUUUGAUUAGCUACACCAACAUUGUUUCCAGGACGAUUAGCCGCACCGCAUUGUUUCCACGCCCUUUGCGAUCUCUGCGCUGAGCAUUGCCCCAAGCAACAGCAUUGCCCCCUGCACCAGGAUUAGCUGCAGCAGUUGCACGACAUUCACGUUCCUGUUCCUAUAAGUGCAUUAUAAAAAAAAAGCUAUAAAAUGAAAAAUAAUAGUGUAGAAGAAAACCUGCUUUGACAACAUAUUAGCCAACUUUGUGUAAAACAACAUAUGAGAUUGGAGUUGUAAAAAAGGCUUGCACACAUAUGCGAUUAGAGUUGUUUGAAGGGUAGUGGCAUAUCAUAAUGGUAAUUUCAGUUCACUAUGUACCUAAGGUAGUUUCAGUUCACUGCGCAUAACAACAUGAAGCCAGCAACUAUAGGCAAAUUUAUCCAUGUCUAUUAAAAUUCUAUAAUUUCUGCACUUCUCCCUUUAGCUGUCACAACCAAGACAUCCUUUGUAUCCCUAAUAAUUAUGUAAUUUAAAAGGAUACAAAAGAACAUUUUUGUAAAUGUUUUUGCAACUGACGUCUAAUAUAGUUUUUGCAGUGAGCGAUGGGACAAUUAUGUUGUUUUGGCAUGAUGAAUGGACCAGUGGGUGUGGUCCUGGCUCAUGCUUUUCAAGAAUUCUUGCUUUGGCAGAGAACAAAAAUAGCAAGAUUGUGGAAUAUGGUGGAUGGGAAAAGGAAAGAUGAGUCUAAAAUGUGAACCUUAGAAGUUAGCUUUUUGAUUGGGAAGUUGAUCAAUGAGAGCAUUUUGAGAAACUAUUGCAAGAUUUUCAGCUAAGUAAAGAACUUAAGGACGAGCUAAUUUGAGAAAAAGAAGCAAAUGGGAACUAUACUGCCAAGUCGCUCUGUAAGUAUGUCUUGUCCUCGAAUGUUGAAUAUAAUGGGCUAUGGAAACAUGUAUGGGCUAGGGUAGCACCUUUUAGGGUGGAAACUUUUGUUUGGCAAAUGGUUCACGGUAAGGUAGGGGUUAAGGAUGAGCUAGUUAAAAGGGGUGUAUAGUUAAACAAUUAGUUAGAUUGUGUGCUAUGUAAGAAAGAGAUAUGUAAUCAUCUAUUUAUUGAAUGUAAAGAGUCUUGGAUGGUCUGGUCGUGGUGGUGCAAAAGAUGGGGGGUUGUUUGGGUUUCACCAGGAAAUACUAAAGAUUCGUUGGUGGCUUGGAAUGGAUGCCAUAUGGAUGGUUUUCAUAAAAGAAUUUAGGAAAUGACAUUCUUUUCUAUGGCCUGGUCAUUAUGGAAAAGCAAGAACGAAAUUGUCUUCGAAGGGAAAGAGUGGGAUAUUAAUCAGUGUUUGGAAUUGGCAAAAAUUAGAGUUACUGCUUGAGCAAAUGCAAAGUAGCCUGGGGAGCACCAUCAAUUUUAGACAUUUAUAGACAAUUGUCACGCCGCUUUUGUGGAGGAGGGCGGGACAGCCCGAUGGCAAGGGCUUGAGGCUCGGGAGUGGACAAGCCAGCUCGAAGAGGGACGAGCAACGAGGGCUGGAACCCCGAUUUGGCGCCAAGGGACUUGAGACAUCGGCACCCAUGGGCGGAUGAGAGCGCAGGCCAGUUAUCAGAUUGGACACGUGGGCCAGCAGACAGGCAGUGUGCCUGGGCCAGCAGGCAGACGGGGUGCGCAGGCGUGCAGGAAAAUGGCGAGCAGCAGAGUUGGCAGACUGGCGCGCAGCGGGUGGGCGCGAACUGCCCAGGCAAUCUGCCAGAAGCGCGGGAAACACUAACCAACCCGAAACCUGCAGGGCAGCCGUUGCCUGCCAUUGGCAACAGUGCCAGGGACACAUCAGAGGGGCCCAGCAGAGCUCAAAACAGCCCCUAACCGUUGGGAACUGCCUUGUAGCAGCUCUAAGGGGUCCUAAGUUGUAUAAACCUCUUGAGUCCCCUCGUUUGAGAUUAAUGACUCUUAUAUUGAAAUUUCUAUCAAUAAAAGCUCUCUUUUUGUUCACUUAACUCUCUUGUGCUUGUCAUAAUCAAUCCUAACUAGCUAACUUGAGAAGGCUGCUAGCCUUUCUAACCCCUUUUAACGAUGUAAAGACUACGCCGCACGGGUCAAGAGAAAACCCCGUGACACAAUCACCUAGAUAAAGGCUGCAAAGGAAGACAAGGCAAGGAAGGGGCGACAUCAAAUAGGAAAAACCACAGCCAAGUUUCAUAAAAUUCAAUGUUAAUGGCUGCGUAGGGCCAAGGGGAUAGGUGGUAUCUUGAGGGACCCUUGUGGGGAAGCCAAAAUCACAUUCGCUAAGCCAAUAGGUAUGGCAGACUCUAAUCUUGCAGAGAUUAUAGCAGUAAGAGAAGCAUUGAUCAUUUUCAAUGCAUCAAAAUGGAAGGAUGAAUGUGGACUUGUUAUUGAAAGUGAGUCAAGCAAUGCCGUUAAGUGGAUUCAACAACCUGUUUUAGCUCCAUGAAGGAUUCGAAAGUGGAUGCUACAAAUUGAAAGAUUUAACGAAAAGCUAGCUGGUUGGAUCAUUCAACAUGUGAAAAAGAGGUAAAUCAUACGGCAGAUGCUUUGGCAAAAAAGAGGGGUGGAGCUGAAAUUAGAAUUAUUGCAAAUAUUCUUGUAAAUAUCCUUUCUUUCCUUGUGUGUUGAAUGGUUGCAUGAUGGUUGAGGAGUGCUGGAAAAGAAGGAUGAAGAUUGGUAAAAGAACAUGCUGGAUAUAUUACAUACAUAUCACCCUGUUUCUUGAGGAUAGAUUGGUGAUGAAUAAACCUGAUUAUUGAGGUGGGCAAGACAGGUUUCGUGAUGGGGAUUUUGGUUUUUUUUUUUUUUGAAUUUAAGUGGGUCCUUGAAUUUUGAUAUGAGAUGUUUUUGUAUAUGGGAUAGGAUACUAGAUCCUGUUCUCUGUUAAUUUGUUUUAGUGCAGUGGAGUGGUGAUGAUUGAUGUUCUUGUACAUGAGUAUAUGGGGAGGGGCUUUUGAUGCCUGCAUUGCUUUUUGCUUGUGCAAAAUGAAUGUUUUUUGUCUCGACCUAGGAUGUUUGCUCAAAGGUCUUUUGGGACAGGAUACUUUUGUAUAAGCCAACUUGAAAGGCUCUUUGUAAGGGGUAAAUUUCAUUCCCAGUAUUUAAUGAAAGCUUGCUUAUGAUUUUCCCAAAAAAAAAUCAUGAGAAUGCUAAUAGCUAAACAACAUCAAGAUAUAUUAAAUGUUGUCCUGAACAGAAGACAAUUGAGAGCAAUUGGAGGUGACAUAUGGGUUGUUAUUGAGUUAUUUCGGAUAGGAUCAAUGACUGCCACGUGUUGGCCCAAUUGAGAAACACACGGCCAUUUCAUUCAAUUGAAACUUCUGAUAAUUUAUUUUGGUAGAAAUGGGCAUAACUUUUUAAUCAUUUUUCCCUUUCUUCCGUUUCUUUGGCCUUUCUUAUUUUGCUUUCUUCAUUCUUUGGCUUUUAGAUUUUUUGCUUCUCCCCUCGAUUUCUCCAUCCUCCCUUUUCUUUUACUUUUCCCAUUCCUUUCAUCUUUUUGUCUUCUUUUUUCAUUGCUUUUUUCGUUUUUUACUUUUUUUUGGCUUCCUUAAAUUGUUUUGGUGUUUUUUUCUUUGAUUUGUUUAGUCUUUGAUUUGUUCAACCAUUGUUCUUCUUGGUUUUUUUUUUUACUUUUUUUUGGUUUUGAUUUGUGAUAUGUAUUCUUUUCUCUUUUUUUUUCUUUUUUGCAUUUCGGUUUGGCUGUUGUAUGAAUAUGUCUUGGUUUUGUGACUUCCAUUUUUUCUUCUGUUUUGAUCUGUGGUUUUUGUGUUGCUUUGGUUUGAUUGUGUUAAUUUGCUUUAUGUUUUAGUUUUUCAAGUUGUAUUUUGUUUUCAUGUACUCAUGGUUUGAUUUUUCUUUCUUGCAAGUUCUUUUGUUCGACUUCUGUUUCACUGUUAUUUUUCAAAUUUGAUUUUUCUUUUAUUUAUUCUCUUUUAGUUUUUAUUUAUGUCUUCUCAGUCGAUGCUUUUGUUUUCAAGUUUUUAAGUUGUGCAUGUAAUGUUUUUUUUAUUUGCCUGUUAUUAGAAAAUUAUGUGUCCUGCCUUUUUCUUUUGUUGUUGUUCUAUUAUUGGUUUCAUUCUCGCUUUUGCACCUUUUGCAGCUGACGGUUUUUGUCUUCUUAGAUAUUGCUGUUUCAUUUCCUUGGCUUUUGUUGGUUUUUUGUGUUAUUAGCUUACAUUUUUUUUAGCAUAUCUAUUUUUCUGAUUGUCAUGGUUUUUAUGUUUCUUCUCAUUCCAUCUGUCAAUGAGUUUGCUGAUUCCUUAGCCAAGUUCGGAGUAGGAAGAGAGCAGGAUAUGAUGGUUGUGCUUUGUGAUAACUAAGAAUGACUUGUCCAGGUACAUGGUUAAGAUUUUGCUCUGUUGCUGAUUCCUGAAGUGGCUGCUUUUAUUUGGUUUUUGAUUUUUUUUUUUUGUUUGUUGGUUUGCGUUGACGGGCGAUUCUCUUUGUGUGAUUUUGUCUUUGUCUUUUGAGGGCUGUCUGAUGGUCCUCCUUUGGUUUUGGUGGCUUUGUUGAGGUUUUGAUUUGUUUGUGGGUUCAUUGGUGUCCUGCUGGUAUUUUUUUUUGGGUGGAUUUAUGGAUCUGCAGGUGGUUGUUUUCACGCCAUUUAAUGGGCUGCUUGCUGUGGUUUUCUCUUGGUUUUGUGGCCUUUGAGAAUGUUGAUUUUCGCAUAAUUAUUAUAAGUUAAGAACAAAAAGGAGAAUGAAAAUUGAAAGGGAUUAUAGUGAGCAUUAAGGAGGAGAAAGAGAAAAUAAAAGAAAGGAAGGAGAGCUACUGUGUCGUGGUGCAAGAAGAAGACCAGACAUAUGCUGCAUGGUGAUAGAGCAGCUGUGGUUAAGGAGAGAAAUUCAUAAUAUGGACUAGCAUGGCGAUGUUACAAAUGGAAGAAAGGAUAUUUAGGUUUAGGGUGCUCAAUUUCCAAUUACACUUCUAAACAAGCUUUAUACGAGUAUUUAAUGGAAUCAAGUCUAAGUUUAUCUAUGUUUGAACUUUAUUAAAAUGAAUUCUAGAAUUUUGUUCAGGUUUGUGUGUUUAUCUGGUUAAACGAAUAUAAAUUAGUUUAACUUAAAUCUCUUCAAAAACUAUCUGUCUAAUGUAUUGAUUCACUUACAUUAUUAUCUAUACAGAUUUUAAAUAUUAAUAAUUAACCAAAUACUAACAAUUAUAUCAAAGUAAACUAGAUAUUAACAAAUCUAAUUUCAGAGAUAUAAAACAAAGUACCAUUACAACUUACAAAUGAAAAUUGAGCUGAAUAUAUAUAUUCUUCUUCUGUAAUUACAUCACAUGAACUGCAAAGGCUUAAUUACAUUAUCACACAGCAGCGACUCGGGCGAGGUGGUGGUGGACCAUGGGGACGUUGAGGAUGUGGACCAUGGUGUUGAUGAGGCCCAAACGGUGGUGCAUACGGCUGCGGCGGCCCUGAGUGUGGAUGAUGCGGUCCAUGUGGUGGCCCCGGGUGUGGGUGGUGUGGAGGAUGUUGCAUAUCUUCUUGCACUUACCUACUUAGCUCUUUCUCUUCCCUUCUUAUACUUUGAUGUGCAGCAAACUGUUCGAGAGAACUAACGAACAUAUAUUGUUCACUGCCGAAUAUAUAUACAUGAAAAGACAAAAAUGAAUCACGUUCUGGUUUUUCUAUUUAAGAUAUUUAUUUGUUGGUUUCUAAUGUAUAUUUAUGGUUAUGACUCUCAAUUGAUUUAAGGCCAAAGAGAAUUUUUGUAAUUUUGUUAAUGAAAAAGGAUAAGCCCAUCUGUCUCAAUUCUCAUCAUCUUCUCCCUGUAAAAGUUUCAUCACCGUCCGCGUCGUUGCUCAAGUUUAAACGUGAUCCUUAAUGGCCCACAUGCUGAUAAGAUAAGCUGGAGCUUUUGACUUUUUCUCUCGUAUGGGACACACUUGCUAGAAACAACAUGCAACACACGAGCUGAAUUGCAAUACGAGAAACAAUCUAGGUUGCUAUCAACAUUAUGAUUCCUUCUAAAUUUUAAUAUGCAGCAUCUAAUAUACAAAUUUUGUCACAUUGUUAAUGGGAUUGAUUUCAUUAGAAGUCUGUUAAAAAUACAUUUGACAGCAAUUUAAUUUAAAUGAUGAAAAAAUUUUCAGAUAACUAUAUUUUCAAACAAUUUUUGAUGGAAAGUUUCAUUUGAAUUAAAUAUACAAAAGAAUUGGAAUAUAUUUUUUUAAAAAUUUGCAAAAAAAUUUUUUUAUGAAAUUUUCAAUGAAACUUUAGAAAAUUUGAACAGAAAUUUUGAAUAUGGUAAAGAACAUGUUGACAUCAGACCAAAAUUUAUUUGAAUACUUGUAUAAAAUGAAGAGAAAAAUGACAAACCAUUUGGUUCGGUACUUAAAUUUUUGGAUUAGUGAUUAAUACAAGAGAAACAAUUCUCUUCUUUAUUUUCCUUUAUUUAUGUAUCCACAGAUGCCAAGAUUCAACUUAUAAUUUUUAGGAUAUCGAAAGUGGAUGGCUAUAAUUUGUUAAGCAGCACCGGAUAUAUCAAUAGAGCCUGAAAAUUUCACAUAUUGAAUGGAUACGAGAAGAAUGCAUUGUGCUGAACGGAUAUAUAUAUAUUUGACACUUCAGAAGAGGAGAAUUGGUUAAGGGAACGGGGCCUGAAAUCUCAGUUAAAUGAAUAAUUAAACUGAUCAAGAUUGAAAGUUAUGGCUUCGUUUCUAAUUAAUUGCAAUCCUCUGCUUUUAAUUUUAUAGAAAGUAAAUGUUGAUAUCACAUACUUUGUAAAAUACUUUCUAAUAUUUUACUUAAUCUCCCUGGGCCUGUAUCAGAUACAAGUGCAACCGAUGGAAUUAAGAAGCUCAAAUUAUAAGGUUAAAUUAAGAAGCUCAAAUUAAUUUGUAACAUGCUUUUAUAAUUUUAUCAGAUAUAUCGAAGCAAAAUGGAAAAGAACCCCACGGCUCCAGAAAAGAAUGUUAUGGAAUAUAAGCAGAGCAAAUCUUGUACAUAUACGGUAUUAGUCCAUAUACGUUUAUUUGAUUAACAUAGCAUAACACCCCGUACAAAUUAAGAUCAGGAUUUCACUUUUCACUACUACAAAACAUACAUGAUAUAGCAAACCAGCAUUUUAUUUUAGUAGAACGAUAGCAUUUGUGCAUGCUUAGCAACGUCCGCCAUGGCCGCCAUGCGAGCCACCACCAUGGUGACCAGGACCGCCUGCUGGAGGACCAUGGUGACCCGGACCACCUGCUGGAGGUCCAUGCUGACCCGGACCACCUGCUGGAGGUCCAUGGCCCCCCUCCGGGCCACAACCAUGACCAGGACCGCCUGCUGGAGGUCCAUGUUGGCCCGGACCACCUGGAGGAGGUCCAUGCUGACCGGGACCACCUGCUGGAGGUCCAUGGUGUCCACCGUGGUCGCCGCCCGGGCCACCUACUGGAUGUCCAUCAUGGCCUGGUGGAGGUCCUUGGGGACAGGGAGGAGGCGGAGCCUGAUGCUGAUGAAUCCCUGGUGGUGGAGGUCCGUGAGGAUGAUCGUGCAUCUUAUCUGCUGUUGUAGUUGGUAUCGUUCUCUGCUUUGCUUCUUGCUGGUGCGGUGAAACGGUUUGAGAGGACUAUUGGAUUUAUAGUAGUGCGGUCCUUGUUUUCAUUAUUUUUUGGCCAGAAUGGUCCCAGACUUGCAGAUAAGGUUAUUACCAUGAGAACUUUGGUCGGAGGUUGUUUAAUGCAUACCUUACACGUUGUUGACGUGACCAUUUGUUGGGAUAUUUCCAUUGGUAUGUGGUUGUUAUUCUCCAUUGACAUGAUGAGGCCAACAACCUUAUCUUUC